This is an RNA transcript of Vigna radiata var. radiata (mung bean), 880 nucleotides long. RefSeq lists it as uncharacterized. Lineage: Eukaryota; Viridiplantae; Streptophyta; Magnoliopsida; Fabales; Fabaceae. The transcript has 4 exons. The record is from RefSeq and is a predicted model, not a curated record.
CAUAAAAAUGAGGCAAGAAGCUUGACCAAACGGCAUCGUUUUGCUAAUUCUGAACCUCUUAUAGGUUCUUUGAUUCUCAAGCUCAUGUUAUCAUCCUAGAUUGUUGAAUUGAAUCACUUUGAAACAGGGAAACCGCGAAGCAGGAUACUGCAAACUGGGAAGAAUCUGAUUUUGUGCACUUAACUUGUAAAUGUCAUCAGCAGAUGGUAGCUAAUCUUUGGCCUACAAAGGAUGCCAAAGACCAUGUGUGCAUUUCCUUGUGUGAAACUCAAUAAUUCAAUAAAGCAUUUGCUAAAGGGUACCAAUAUUUUUAUCUGCUGCAAUUUGAGAAGCAAUUUCAGAAGCACUCUGAUCCAAAGGGUAAUUUAACUCUCCCAAAAGUAGUUUGAUCCGAUGCAGUUGCUCAGAAUGAAAUGCAGCUCUCUGAUUCGCAUGAAGCAACUUCAAGCACAUCUCAUAACAAUCGGAAAAUUUCAAUUCCACCCUUCUCGGUCAAAAGCUCCUCGAGCUCUGCUCCAUCUCCCACGCCGGCGACCUCUCCUUCGCAGGCCAAAUUUUCUAGAGAAUCUAGACCCCUUCCACCAACGACUGGAACGCUGUUCUCCGAGGCCUGGCCCAAAGCCCAGAACCGAUGUAGGCCCUGUCAUGGUACUGCGCCAUGUCACGCAGUCCCCAAAAGGUGGACACUUUGACGUGCUCCUUCGCCCUCAAGGGCUGUGCGCGUGCAUUGGCUUUCUCCGAAGCCACCCAGAUUCAUUCUCAUAUUCCACAUUUGGGGUUCGAAGCUGAUAUAUUUUUAUUGACUGUUGGGGCAAAUUGACAAGUGUACCGAGUCGCACAAGUAAUAUAAAAUUGUAAGACCAAGUUUCGUAUCUUAAAA